UCCUGGUUUCCCAGGCAGUCCCAUCAGAGUGCCUCCAAAGGAGUAGCAACUGACAGCAAGGGUUGCGCUCGUUAUAGGACUUAACCCAACAUCUCACGACACGAGCUGACGACAGCCAUGCAGCACCUGUGUAUAUGUCUUAGGUUUCCCUAAGAAAACUACGUUUCUGUAGCGGUCAUAUACAUGUCAAGCCUAGGUAAGGUUCCUCGCGUAGUGUCGAAUUGAACCACAUGUUCCACCGCUUGUGCGGACCCCCGUCAAUUCCUUUGAGUUUUAAUCUUGCGACCGUACUCCCCAGGCGGAUCACUUAUCGCGUUAGCUACGACACUAAUCUCGCAAGCGAGAUUAACGUCUAGUGAUCAUCGUUUACAGCGUGGACUAC
Molecule: unclassified non-coding RNA, 382 nt
Filed under: uncultured bacterium
Lineage: Bacteria
Description: contains 16S-23S intergenic spacer region
Source: RNAcentral